Molecule: long non-coding RNA, 753 nt
Organism: Onthophagus taurus
Lineage: Eukaryota; Metazoa; Arthropoda; Insecta; Coleoptera; Scarabaeidae
Source: RefSeq, a predicted model, not a curated record
UGAUAUUAAAAACCAUAAAAACCGACUCUUCCUGGAGAUAAUGAGAAUUAUUCAUAUUAAAACCACGACCUUCCUGUAGUCAUUAAUUUUUAGAUAUUAUCUCUUGGUAUAAAUUGAGUGUCUUACGUUUUUUAAAGUUAGUUUAAAGUUUGUUAUGUAACACAUCAUGCCUAACAACGAGAAUGAGUACGCCCCAAUCCCCUGGGAUCUAAUCCAGGGGAUUUAUGAUUUGUAUCAAUCAAAUGAUUGUUACACCGUUAUACCUAUACUAGAAUUAAUUUUUCCAUAUGUAAUAUUAAUUUUUUAACCUAUAAUGAUUCUGACUACAAAUGGUUGUAUUGAGGACUUGCUCGUCCAAGGGGAGCACAUAAUUUAUAGUUAUGUGACCCCCACCGACUAUUUACUCAUUGCGAGGAGUGUUUUUUUAUAAAGUUCGGAGGAGUAAUGCCACUCAACCCAUUAGUCAUGGUCGACUUAACCGCUGAAGGUAAUGUGGUAUUGUUGAAGGUUGUUAGGUUUUAAAAUGGAUGAGUUUUUUCCCAACUACAUGUGAAUGUAUUUUACCCAAAGGUUCGUACAAUUCUACCUCUUACAAAAGAGUAAUCAAAAGUAUUACAGCAAUACUGCUUACCACGGUAAUAUGGUUCAACGGACGAUGACCUGUUACUUAAUUAAUUUGUUAAGCAUACAUUUUAUAGUUUAAACGUUUUAUAAUUUAUUUAAAUAAUUAUGAAUAUGGAUACAUUACAGUAA